UAUGGAUACUAUUCAAUCAGAAUUUAAACAUAAUAUCAAUAACAAUAUUCAAGAUAUAUUCGUCAUAAUACAAAAAAUGAUUAUAUAUUCAAGUACCACAACCAAAAUAAGAUAACAGUUAAUUGUUUACAUCCAGUACCAUUUGCACCACAUAAUUAAGUUUUCAAUCUCAUCAAAAUCAAAUCUCAUAUUAGUAACUUCUCAAAACAAUGAUAAUAAAAACUCUAAGGGGCUGUUUGAUUUGACGUAAAAUUGCGAAAAAAAAAUUUCGGUGGAAAAAAACUUUCGGUGGAAAAAAAAUUUUACGUAGUGUUUGGUUUGUAGGAAAAGAAAAAUAGUUUUCGAUGAUGGUUGUUUGGUUGAAAGAAAAGAAAAGUAGUUGAAAUCUAUAUAAUAUAUUUUUUAUUAUAUAUAUUAUUAUUAUAUAAUAAUUAAUAUACUAUAUAUAUUAUUAUUAUAAUAUUU
Molecule: long non-coding RNA, 465 nt
Filed under: Ananas comosus (pineapple)
Lineage: Eukaryota; Viridiplantae; Streptophyta; Magnoliopsida; Poales; Bromeliaceae
Description: long non-coding RNA (ACOM_LNC013308)
Source: RNAcentral